ACGGCGAGUGAAGCGGCAACAGCUCAAAUUUGAAAUCUGGCGCAAGCCCGAGUUGUAAUUUGUAGAGGAUGCUUCUGGGUAGCGACCGGUCUAAGUUCCUUGGAACAGGACGUCAUAGAGGGUGAGAAUCCCGUAUGUGACCGGCCCGCACCCUUUACGUAGCUCCUUCGACGAGUCGAGUUGUUUGGGAAUGCAGCUCUAAAUGGGAGGUAAAUUUCUUCUAAAGCUAAAUACCGGCCAGAGACCGAUAGCGCACAAGUAGAGUGAUCGAAAGAUGAAAAGUACUUUGGAAAGAGAGUUAAAAAGCACGUGAAAUUGUUGAAAGGGAAGCGCCUGCAAUCAGACUUCGCGGCAGUGUUCCACCGGUCUUCUGACCGGUCUAUUCUCUGUCGCGAGGCCAUCAUCGUCUCGGCCCGCUGGAUAAGACCUUGGGAAUGUAGCUCACCUUCGGGGGAGUGUUAUAGCUCAUGGUGAUGCAGCGAGGCUGGGGCGAGGUCCGCGCUUCGGCAAGGAUGAUGGCGUAAAUGGUUGUCGGCGGCCCGUCUUGAAACACGGACCAAGGAGUCUAACAUCUAUGCGAGUGUUCGGGUGUCAAACCCCUACGCGUAAUGAAAGUGAACGGAGGUGGGAACCGCAAGGUGCACCAUCGACCGAUCCUGAUGUCCUCGGAUGGAUUUGAGUAAGAGCAUAGCUGUUGGGACCCGAAAGAUGGUGAACUAUGCCUGAAUAGGGUGAAGCCAAGAAGGAAACUCUGGUGGAAGGCUCGCAGCGGUUCUGACGUGCAAAUC
Molecule: ribosomal RNA, 788 nt
Filed under: Sphaerulina pelargonii
Lineage: Eukaryota; Fungi; Ascomycota; Dothideomycetes; Mycosphaerellales; Mycosphaerellaceae
Description: LSU rRNA
Rfam family: Eukaryotic large subunit ribosomal RNA
Source: RNAcentral